GUCUGUAUGAAGUUGUAUAGAGUCUGGCCUGCCCAUUGAAGAAAUUUAAAAGGCCGCGGUAUAUUAACUGUGCAAAGGUAGCAUAAUCAUUAGCUUUUUAAUUGAAGGCUUGUAUGAAGGGUCUGACAAAGAAAAAGCUGUCUUUAAUUUUAUUUUUGAAAUUAACUUUUAAGUGAAAAGGCUUAAAUAAAUUUAAGGGACGAUAAGACCCUAUAAAUCUUUAUAUUAAAUUUUAGCUUAAAUAUUAAUUAGUUUGUUUAUAUUUUUUUUUAAAGUUAAAAUAAAUAUUUUGUUGGGGUGACAAGAAUAUAAUAAUUAACUGUUCUUUUAUAAAACAAAGUUGUUUGUAAAAUAAAAUAAAGAUCCUUUAUUAAAGAUUAAAAGUUUAAGUUACUUUAGGGAUAACAGCGUUAUUUUUUUUGAGAGUUCAUAUCGAAAAAAAAGUUUGCGACCUCGAUGUUGAAUUAAAAUUUCUCUAUGGUGUAGAAGUUAUAGGAGAGAGUCUGUUCGACUUUU
This 516-nucleotide ribosomal RNA is filed under the name Paramunida mozambica. RNAcentral's name for it is "partial large subunit ribosomal RNA". It matches the Rfam family "Bacterial large subunit ribosomal RNA", at positions 1829 to 2589 of the family's 2925-position model. The record is from RNAcentral. Lineage: Eukaryota; Metazoa; Arthropoda; Malacostraca; Decapoda; Munididae. RNAcentral also lists the same sequence under 1 other name.